GGGGAUGUAGCUCAGUGGUAGAGUGCUUGCCUGGCGUGUGUGAGGCCUUGGGUUCAAUCCCCAGCACUGCAA
Non-coding RNA from Ictidomys tridecemlineatus (thirteen-lined ground squirrel), 72 nucleotides. The record is from Rfam. NCBI's taxonomy places the organism in Eukaryota, Metazoa, Chordata, Mammalia, Rodentia, Sciuridae.